RNAcentral lists this ribosomal RNA (396 nucleotides) under uncultured bacterium. Its description in RNAcentral is "partial 16S ribosomal RNA". It matches the Rfam family "Bacterial small subunit ribosomal RNA", at positions 523 to 918 of the family's 1533-position model. The record is from RNAcentral.
AUACGUAGGUGGCAAGCGUUGUCCGGAAUUAUUGGGCGUAAAGCGCAUGUAGGCGGUAAUUUAAGUCUGUCGUGAAACUGCGGGGCUCAGCCCCGUAUGGCGAUGGAAACUGGGUUACUUGAGUGCAGGAGAGGAAAGGGGAACUCCCAGUGUAGCGGUGAAAUGCGGAGAUAUUGGGAAGAACACCGGUGGCGAAGGCGCCUUUCUGGACUGUGUCUGACGCUGAGAUGCGAAAGCCAGGGUAGCGAACGGGAUUAGAUACCCCGGUAGUCCUGGCCGUAAACGGUGGGUACUAGGUGUGGGAGGUAUCGACCCCUUCCGUGCCGGAGUUAACGCAAUAAGUACCCCGCCUGGGGAGUACGGCCGCAAGGCUUAAACUCAAAUGAAUUGACGGGG